AGUGGACAGCUACCCACGAGGCAUCACACAGCCAGGACAGGGGACGGCCACACUGGCUGGAGUCUCCAAGCCCAUCAAGAGCAAGUUUUGCUAAAAGUGUUCUGAGAGCUUAUGAAGCACAUGGACAAGGAAGGGUUGUGCAUCCGGCUUUCCACCUUAAACUGGUUUCUAUGGUGCUUCAUCGAUGAGAUAAGGAUGCAUAGGAGACCCCAGGCCAGGAGUUCCUUCAGGACACACUGUCCUAGGCCUGGGCCCUGGAGGAGGACAUGGUGAUGAGGCACCCUGAGGCCUCCAUGGGGGAACUGAGAAGCAUGCACUGUGACCUGCACACCCAGGUGGGCUUCAGCACCAAGUCUCCUCCUGUGUCACCCUGCGGGGCAGUAAAUAGUGGGAAGUGCCCAGACCUC
This 407-nucleotide long non-coding RNA is filed under the name Homo sapiens (human). RNAcentral describes it as "long intergenic non-protein coding RNA 1015". Lineage: Eukaryota; Metazoa; Chordata; Mammalia; Primates; Hominidae. The record is from RNAcentral.